Molecule: non-coding RNA, 242 nt
Filed under: Pediculus humanus corporis (human body louse)
Lineage: Eukaryota; Metazoa; Arthropoda; Insecta; Psocodea; Pediculidae
Source: RNAcentral
GCCGGGAGUUAGUGGCGUGCUCCUGUAAUCCAGCUACUUGGAGGCCGGGUGCAACGGAUGCCUCUGGUCGUAUAUUCGGAUCCUAAUUGCCGCGCAUUGUUUUAAACGGUCAGCGGGAGCACUUCGGGGUCCCGACCGAGUGUUUUCGUCGACCAACAGGGUAUCUAGGGACUUAGUCUCGGUGCGCGGCGGUUGAGAGCCGUUUUCCCCGUUUGCAGACGAAGAGUCAGACCUGUACCUUA